UUAAGCGACUAAGCGUACACGGUGGAUGCCCUGGCAGUCAGAGGCGAUGAAGGGCGUGCUAAUCUGCGAUAAGCGCCGGUAAGGUGAUAUGAACCGUUAUAACCGGCGAUACCCGAAUGGGGAAACCCAGUGUGACUCGUCACACUAUCAUUAACUGAAUCCAUAGGUUAAUGAGGCGAACCGGGGGAACUGAAACAUCUAAGUACCCCGAGGAAAAGAAAUCAACCGAGAUUCCCCCAGUAGCGGCGAGCGAACGGGGAGGAGCCCAGAGCCUGAAUCAGCAUGUGUGUUAGUGGAAGCGUCUGGAAAGGCGCGCGAUACAGGGUGACAGCCCCGUACACAAAAGCGCAUGUGCUGUGAGCUCGAUGAGUAGGGCGGGACACGUGGUAUCCUGUCUGAAUAUGGGGGGACCAUCCUCCAAGGCUAAAUACUCCUGACUGACCGAUAGUGAACCAGUACCGUGAGGGAAAGGCGAAAAGAACCCCGGCGAGGGGAGUGAAAAAGAACCUGAAACCGUGUACGUACAAGCAGUGGGAGCNNGUGACUGCGUACCUUUUGUAUAAUGGGUCAGCGACUUAUAUUCUGUAGCAAGGUUAACCGAAUAGGGGAGCCGGAGGGAAACCGAGUCUUAACCGGGCGUUAAGUUGCAGGGUAUAGACCCGAAACCCGGUGAUCUAGCCAUGGGCAGGUUGAAGGUUGGGUAACACUAACUGGAGGACCGAACCGACUAAUGUUGAAAAAUUAGCGGAUGACCUGUGGCUGGGGGUGAAAGGCCAAUCAAACCGGGAGAUAGCUGGUUCUCCCCGAAAGCUAUUUAGGUAGCGCCUCGUGAAUUCAUCUCCGGGGGUAGAGCACUGUUUCGGCUAGGGGGCCAUCCCGGCUUACCAACCCGAUGCAAACUGCGAAUACCGGAGAAUGUUAUCACGGGAGACACACGGCGGGUGCUAACGUCCGUCGUGAAGAGGGAAACAACCCAGACCGCCAGCUAAGGUCCCAAAGUCAUGGUUAAGUGGGAAACGAUGUGGGAAGGCCCAGACAGCCAGGAUGUUGGCUUAGAAGCAGCCAUCAUUUAAAGAAAGCGUAAUAGCUCACUGGUCGAGUCGGCCUGCGCGGAAGAUGUAACGGGGCUAAACCAUGCACCGAAGCUGCGGCAGCGAACGUAUCACUUAAAGCGAUUCAGCGGGUUACGAUUGACGGAGCGAAGCGACGUCAAAGCGUAUACAAAGUCGAGUCGGUUUAAGGAUACGUUCGUUGGGUAGGGGAGCGUUCUGUAAGCCUGCGAAGGUGUGUCGUGAGGGUUGCUGGAGGUAUCAGAAGUGCGAAUGCUGACAUAAGUAACGAUAAAGCGGGUGAAAAGCCCGCUCGCCGGAAGACCAAGGGUUCCUGUCCAACGUUAAUCGGGGCAGGGUGAGUCGACCCCUAAGGCGAGGCCGAAAGGCGUAGUCGAUGGGAAACGGGUUAAUAUUCCCGUACUUGGUGUUACUGCGAAGGGGGGACGGAGAAGGCUAUGUUGGCCGGGCGACGGUUGUCCCGGUUUAAGCGUGUAGGUGUGUGUUCCAGGUAAAUCCGGUUCACUUUAACACUGAGGCGUGAUGACGAGGCACUACGGUGCUGAAGCAACAAAUGCCCUGCUUCCAGGAAAAGCCUCUAAGCAUCAGGUAACAUCAAAUCGUACCCCAAACCGACACAGGUGGUCAGGUAGAGAAUACCAAGGCGCUUGAGAGAACUCGGGUGAAGGAACUAGGCAAAAUGGUGCCGUAACUUCGGGAGAAGGCACGCUGACACGUAGGUGAAGUGAUUUACUCAUGGAGCUGAAGUCAGUCGAAGAUACCAGCUGGCUGCAACUGUUUAUUAAAAACACAGCACUGUGCAAACACGAAAGUGGACGUAUACGGUGUGACGCCUGCCCGGUGCCGGAAGGUUAAUUGAUGGGGUCAGCGCAAGCGAAGCUCCUGAUCGAAGCCCCGGUAAACGGCGGCCGUAACUAUAACGGUCCUAAGGUAGCGAAAUUCCUUGUCGGGUAAGUUCCGACCUGCACGAAUGGCGUAAUGAUGGCCAGGCUGUCUCCACCCGAGACUCAGUGAAAUUGAACUCGCUGUGAAGAUGCAGUGUACCCGCGGCAAGACGGAAAGACCCCGUGAACCUUUACUAUAGCUUGACACUGAACAUUGAGCCUUGAUGUGUAGGAUAGGUGGGAGGCUUUGAAGCGUGGACGCCAGUCUGCGUGGAGCCGACCUUGAAAUACCACCCUUUAAUGUUUGAUGUUCUAACGUGGACCCGUAAUCCGGGUUGCGGACAGUGUCUGGUGGGUAGUUUGACUGGGGCGGUCUCCUCCUAAAGAGUAACGGAGGAGCACGAAGGUUGGCUAAUCCUGGUCGGACAUCAGGAGGUUAGUGCAAUGGCAUAAGCCAGCUUGACUGCGAGCGUGACGGCGCGAGCAGGUGCGAAAGCAGGUCAUAGUGAUCCGGUGGUUCUGAAUGGAAGGGCCAUCGCUCAACGGAUAAAAGGUACUCCGGGGAUAACAGGCUGAUACCGCCCAAGAGUUCAUAUCGACGGCGGUGUUUGGCACCUCGAUGUCGGCUCAUCACAUCCUGGGGCUGAAGUAGGUCCCAAGGGUAUGGCUGUUCGCCAUUUAAAGUGGUACGCGAGCUGGGUUUAGAACGUCGUGAGACAGUUCGGUCCCUAUCUGCCGUGGGCGCUGGAGAACUGAGGGGGGCUGCUCCUAGUACGAGAGGACCGGAGUGGACGCAUCACUGGUGUUCGGGUUGUCAUGCCAAUGGCACUGCCCGGUAGCUAAAUGCGGAAGAGAUAAGUGCUGAAAGCAUCUAAGCACGAAACUUGCCCCGAGAUGAGUUCUCCCUGAGACUUAGAGUCUCCUGAAGGAACGUUGAAGACGACGACGUUGAUAGGCCGGGUGUGUAAGCGCAGCGAUGCGUUGAGCUAACCGGUACUAAUGAACCGUGAGGCUUAACCUU
Molecule: ribosomal RNA, 2975 nt
Filed under: Salmonella enterica subsp. enterica serovar Infantis
Lineage: Bacteria; Pseudomonadati; Pseudomonadota; Gammaproteobacteria; Enterobacterales; Enterobacteriaceae
Description: bacterial LSU rRNA
Rfam family: Bacterial large subunit ribosomal RNA
Source: RNAcentral